AUGCUCGCUUCCUUUGGCAGCACAUAUACUAAAAUUGGAAUGAUACAGAGGAAAUUAGCAUGGCCCCUAAGCAAGGAUGACACAUAAAUUUGUGAUGUGAUCCAUAUUUAA
This 111-nucleotide small nuclear RNA is filed under the name Microcebus murinus (gray mouse lemur). The record is from RNAcentral. Lineage: Eukaryota; Metazoa; Chordata; Mammalia; Primates; Cheirogaleidae.